Molecule: transfer RNA, 83 nt
Filed under: Fidelibacterota bacterium
Lineage: Bacteria; Pseudomonadati; Fidelibacterota
Also listed under: 4 other names
Description: tRNA-Tyr
Rfam family: tRNA
About the family: Transfer RNA (tRNA) molecules are approximately 80 nucleotides in length. Their secondary structure includes four short double-helical elements and three loops (D, anti-codon, and T loops). Further hydrogen bonds mediate the characteristic L-shaped molecular structure. tRNAs have two regions of fundamental functional importance: the anti-codon, which is responsible for specific mRNA codon recognition, and the 3' end, to which the tRNAs corresponding amino acid is attached (by aminoacyl-tRNA synthetases). tRNAs cope with the degeneracy of the genetic code in two manners: having more than one tRNA (with a specific anti-codon) for a particular amino acid; and 'wobble' base-pairing, i.e. permitting non-standard base-pairing at the 3rd anti-codon position.
Source: RNAcentral
GGUGGCGUGGCCGAGUGGUUAAAGGCGACAGACUGUAAAUCUGUUGGCGUAUGCCUACGGUGGUUCGAAUCCAUCCGCCACCA